This is a long non-coding RNA of Cyanistes caeruleus (blue tit), 2864 nucleotides long. The record is from Ensembl. NCBI's taxonomy places the organism in Eukaryota, Metazoa, Chordata, Aves, Passeriformes, Paridae.
CACCCCCUCGCCCAGGGGUGUUCGGACUCUCCCGGGGAAUGGUCCCUCACCAGUGCAGUGGCCAGGGCAGAAUUAAUUCUCUUUACUAAAAAUUCCUGUCGUGGUCCGCACUCCCCACCACGAGCACAGAGGGUUUUAGGAGACAUCAGCGCUCCCUAGGUUAGAGACCUGGUCCUGACCCUCCCGCCGUGCCCGCUAAUCGCCCUGAGCUCAUCCCAAAAUCCUGCAGGAGCCGGUGAUGAACCGCCAGCUUUCCAGCAAAUCCCAAAGGAUGCUUAGAGAAUUCCCUGGAAGCCCCCCAGCUGCAGAGGGAAUCUCCAGGGUGACACCCAGGGCUCAGCUCCGGCUGCCCAGCACCUGCCCUGGGACAGCUCGGGCAGCCCGAGCCCAGCUGCCUACACACUUCUCCUCUUAAAUGCCCGGUUAUUUAUCAAAGUGGCUCGGUUUGUGCCAAAUUGCCACUUGUUUUGUCUACAUUUUUGUCUGGAAAAUUAGAGCACAGAGGGUUAUUGUUUCUCAAAUGACUUAGGCGCCUGCCCAUGCACAGAACCAUUCUUAAAGAUAGCAGGGAUCUGAUGUGCAAAUGAAUGGCAGGAUACAGCCCCCUGGGAAUAUUUGUUCCCACUAAGCCCUGCAAAUUUUUUGAAAGCAUGUAAGCAUUUAAAAGGAAAUAUUUACCAGUUCAACAAUAAUGGUUCCAAGAGAGCAACUGAGAUCACUGGCCCAUCCCCUUCAUUUCCUCAGGGAUACACUGCUGAUGGAACUGGAGCUGCCUCGGGCAGUGCUGCACCCUCUGGGGAAUCUGAUGGCUGCUUGGGGCUCUCAGUGUGAAAGGAGCUUUGGUGGGAUCCUCCCUGAGAGGGGAACAGAAGGGAAUCCUCUCUGGAAGUGCUGGUGGAGAUGGAGAUCCCUCCCAGCAGCAGGGAAAGGUUUGCUGGCGCUGGUGGAAGUGCAGCUCCGUGUUGUACAGCAUCUCACACAGGAAACCUUUGCAUGAACCCCUGGAAUUCCAAUUUGAUGGUGAGGAAGAGGAUGGACUCAUCCUUCAGCUCCUCACAGGACACCACCAUGCAGCACAGGACCCAGCACGCUCCUACCAGGGACUCCACUGGAGCCUUCUCAACCAUAGGCAGUGACUCCCUAAGUGCACCGAGCAUUUUAAAAUUCUGCCAGUAUUUUAAUUGCAGAAAGUUUCCUUUCCAGUCCCAUUUAUUGGGUCAAAUCUUUGCUCCAUCAAGUGCCCGUGUCAGCUGCUAAAGAACUGCAUACAGCCCAUUAAAAGAGCAUUUAAUCCUCUGCUCCCAGGGAGGGUUCUGUGUCUUCUGUGCUAAUAUUCAUUAUGCUGGGAGGGAAAUCCCCCAGGACAAGGCCUGGCAAAGUUCCCUUGGAAGCAGAGGAGUUAUGCCAGCUCAGAGUAGGGGAAGAUCAGAUCUCUUGGCACUGUUGAUGUCAGUGUGAUGAGCUCCUGACAAAGGCAGCAGGGGAUUUGGGCUCCUGCCUGCGUGGCCGCCUGAAUUCAAAGUCCUCCCUUGCCCGAUGUUUUACAUUUUUCCCCCACAGCUUUCUCCCUUGCACACCAGCAGUGUACUCCCACGACAUCGAAUAUUAAUGCUUGUCUCCAGGCCAGGAAAGAAAUGUUUCUGCCCAACCUCCCUCUUAGAUUCAACAAUGUCAAAACCUCCUUGUCUCCCACUGGUUUUACCACCAGCGUGAGCUGGGAGGGGCAGCGAGUGCUGGCCCCCAGCAGAUCUCAGGCUGAGCACCAGGUGAGAUUUUCACCCACCUCCCAAUUUCCCAGAGCCUGCCAAGCCCACUGCAGCUGCCUGGGCAUCCAACAUCCCCCUGAGUGAUGGGGGCUGGAAGCACUUCCCUGUUUGGUACGAGAGCUUGGAGGGUGGGAGGCAUGAAAAAGGGAAGAUUAACAGUGGAGAAUUAAUAGAUCAGCAUUAAAAUCCCACAUCAGGAACCUGCUCUUUAGAGAGGAGCACUUCCAGCCCCUGACAGAAAAGGGGACGUGCCCAGGCACACAAGCUCUCCCCAGACUGGAGUGACAGAUGGAUGGGGACACGGGCAGGACAGUGACACACAUACAGAUGCAAAACUCUCCAGCCCCCACAAGCCGUGGCUGACCCCAUACCUGCGGCACACAAUGGGCUCUCACUGGUCUCCACGGGGGUCUGGCACAGAACUGGAAGCACUUGCUAAAGCAAAAGGGAAAUUUUGGUGCUUCUCAACAAAAAGCAAAAAAAAAAAAAAAGGAGGAAUGGCUUUUGCUGUUCCAGGACAAAUUCUUCUGCUCGGGCUGUUCAUGAGGCUGUUUGUAAACUUUACAUUUCAGUUUUAGCUCAGGAGCAGCCCCUGUUCUGCAAAGCUCUGUGAGGAAAAUGACCUCCCACCAUUCUGUUCUGGCCCAUAUUGUUCUCAGCUGCGUCAGCUGCACACCAGCUAUCACAGUGGAAAUCUAGAGGGUUCCACUGAUGGCAGUGGGAUAAAAGCAGGUCAGACCAAGAAAAGGACUUGACCCAUAGCUCUCGCUCUGCUGUCACCAGUGGCUCAGGGAUCUGCAUAUUAAUACCACGACCUGAGCCCCACAAAGUGAUUUUUUUACCUUUUUUUUUGCCUGAGUAAGGACUUCACAAGAAUUAAUUGUCUCAGGACCAGCGUGUUAUAACUUAAGGUGCCCAUGGGGACAACCAGCAGCUGAGCUGGAGCUGUGCAGAAACAAAUGCAGGAACAGGGCAUCAUCCCAUAGCCAAUUUUUAUUUACAUUUAGAGGAGGCAGCAAUAGCUGAAGCGUAAAAACUGGGAAAUGAUUCAUCCCACCCAAGAAUAAACGGAAUUUUGUGGCUUUCUGUAAAAUUUCC